This is a small nucleolar RNA of Zingiber officinale, 107 nucleotides long. The record is from RefSeq and is a predicted model, not a curated record. NCBI's taxonomy places the organism in Eukaryota, Viridiplantae, Streptophyta, Magnoliopsida, Zingiberales, Zingiberaceae.
AAUCCAUGAUAAGGGAACUAUCUUUGUAAGCUCUUAAAUCUAUCCCAUGUUUCAAAUAAUGAUUCUCCAUUUGCCUGAGCAAAAUUUGUGAUGCAAUUUCUCAUGUA